UACGGGGGGAGCAAGCGUUGUUCGGAUUUACUGGGCGUAAAGCGCGCGUAGGCGGCUUUGCAAGCCGGAUGUGAAAUCCCCGGGCUUAACCUGGGAACUGCAUUCGGGACUGCAUUGCUCGAGUAUGGGAGAGGGAAGUGGAAUUUCAGGUGUAGCGGUGAAAUGCGUAGAUAUCUGAAGGAACAUCAGUGGCGAAAGCGACUUCCUGGACCAAUACUGACGCUCAUGUGCGAAAGCGUGGGGAGCAAACAGG
RNAcentral lists this ribosomal RNA (253 nucleotides) under uncultured bacterium. RNAcentral's name for it is "partial 16S ribosomal RNA". It matches the Rfam family "Bacterial small subunit ribosomal RNA", at positions 524 to 776 of the family's 1533-position model. The record is from RNAcentral.